GACGAACGCUGGCGGCGUGCUUAACACAUGCAAGUCGAACGGAAAGGCCCUGCUUUUGUGGGGUGCUCGAGUGGCGAACGGGUGCGUAACACGUGAGUAACCUGCCCUUGACUUUGGGAUAACUUCAGGAAACUGGGGCUAAUACCGGAUCGGAGCUCCUGCUGCAUGGUGGGGGUUGGAAAGUUUCGGCGGUUGGGGAUGGACUCGCGGCUUAUCAGCUUGUUGGUGGGGUAGUGGCUUACCAAGGCUUUGACGGGUAGCCGGCCUGAGAGGGUGACCGGCCACAUUGGGACUGAGAUACGGCCCAGACUCCUACGGGAGGCAGUAGUGGGGAGUAUUGCACAAUGGGCGGACGCCUGAUGCAGCAACGCCGCGUGCGGGAUGACGGCCUUCGGGUUGUAAACCGCUUUCGCCUGUGACGAAGCGUGAGUGACGGUAAUGGGUAAAGAAGCACCGGCUAACUACGUG
This 468-nucleotide ribosomal RNA is filed under the name uncultured bacterium. Its description in RNAcentral is "partial 16S ribosomal RNA". It matches the Rfam family "Bacterial small subunit ribosomal RNA", at positions 28 to 507 of the family's 1533-position model. The record is from RNAcentral.